UUUGAAUUGAAAUUAUGACCAUAACUGAAGGAAAGAUUUUUUUUGGAUAAAUUCAAAUCAUAUAACCAAUUCUGAUUUCUUUGACUACAGUUAUUCUGUGUCAGAAACCUAUUAUGUGUCAAAUAUUGAAUUACAAUCCAAAUUCAGACCUGUAUCAAGCGCGAAUAUUGUGUCCAUUUUUGCCCCAACUGUUCAGGGUUGGACCUCUGUGGUUGUAUCCAGCUGCGCUCGGCGAUUUAUUCCUUCUGGAAACAUUCAAAAUUUAUAUUCAGCCCCCCCCCCCCAAAAAAAACAUAGGUUUUCAAUAAAUUAUCUGUUGGUAUAUGUCUUCCUCAUUUUGAUCAUCUUUAUAUCUAUAAAAUUAAUAGACAUUUUUGUAUGAUUGUUUUAAAGAUUUUUAUUCUUUUUUCUUAUGUAACUUUUAGUCUUUAUAUUGGUGAAAUAGUACUGACAAAGAUAAUACUAAAUAUAUUGUUUUUGUUUCAAGUCUUAUGACUAGCUUGGUAUUAAACAUGAUUGAAACUCUCAAAAGGAUCAGAGGCAAAAUUGCACUAAAAAUAAUGAGUAAAGCAGGAAAGACUUUUCAGUGUGUGCACUCUUGUUUCAAAUUCUUUGAUCUCUCCUGGAAGUUAUGAAAGUAAUAGACUGAAUGCUGUGUAUAACCACCCUGUUUAAAAAAAAGUAUGAUACUUACUUGCUUUGCCAGUUUUUUUACCAUUUUGUAGUAACCUCAUAAAGUUUUAACAUGGCAGCUAACACCAUUUUUAAGUCACUAUUGUAUGUCCCUGUUUUCAAAAAUUGCAGUUGCUGUUUCAAAAAAAUCAUACUGCAAGAAUUGUUUGUAAGUUAUUUACUGAAAUGUUCAUGACUGAAGAGUAUUUUUUCUCUUUCGAAUUUUUGUGAAAUUUGUCCUAAUUUUUAACAUUGCAGAGUAAUGCAUCUGUAGAAAAACAAGUUUCAAUAUGACAGCUUCUGGUGCAGUAAAAUAUGUACCAUUACUAUGACAGUUUUAGAUAAAUUCCCCUGGUAAAGAAAUGUUCAACAUCACAGUUUUACUGUCUAGAGAUGCCAUGUAAUCAAUGCAGACUCAAGUUUAUUAUAGUUAAUUAAUUCCUUGUAAGUUACAGCAAAAUCAAUCUAUAUAUUGUGAUAAGUCUCAAGUAAUAGAAUUAAGAAUUUCCAGUAACAAUUAUUUUUACCAUUUAUUACUGUUUGAAUUAUAUAUUGUAAUAUAAAAAUA
RNAcentral lists this long non-coding RNA (1240 nucleotides) under Mytilus galloprovincialis (Mediterranean mussel). The record is from RNAcentral. Lineage: Eukaryota; Metazoa; Mollusca; Bivalvia; Mytilida; Mytilidae.